RNAcentral lists this ribosomal RNA (497 nucleotides) under uncultured bacterium. RNAcentral describes it as "partial 16S ribosomal RNA". It matches the Rfam family "Bacterial small subunit ribosomal RNA", at positions 28 to 507 of the family's 1533-position model. The record is from RNAcentral.
GAUGAACGCUGGCGGCGUGCCUAAUACAUGCAAGUCGAGCGAACGGACGAGAAGCCUGCUUUUCUGAUGUUAGCGGCGGACGGGUGAGUAACACGUGGAUAACCUACCUAUAAGACUGGGAUAACUUCGGGAAACCGGAGCUAAUACCGGAUAAUAUUUUGAACCGCAUGGUUCAAAAGUGAAAGACGGUCUUGCUGUCACUUAUAGAUGGAUCCGCGCUGCAUUAGCUAGUUGGUAAGGUAACGGCUUACCAAGGCAACGAUGCAUAGCCGACCUGAGAGGGUGAUCGGCCACACUGGAACUGAGACACGGUCCAGACUCCUACGGGAGGCAGCAGUAGGGAAUCUGCCGCAAUGGGCGGAAGCCUGACGGAGCAACGCCGCGUGAGUGGUGAAGGUCUUCGGAUCGUAAAACUCUGUUAUUAGGGAAGAACAUAUGUGUAAGUAACUGUGCACAUCUUGACGGUACCUAAUCAGAAAGCCACGGCUAACUACGUG